GUUUAAAACAUAAAAUGAGCUAAGGAUCUACUCUUACCUCUUGGAGAUCGAGAGGAGAGGCGAUCUAACUUGGAGAUGGGAGAAAUCUCACUCCUUGGGUCUCCAAGCUCCAAAACUUGCUCUUUUUGCUCAAAUAUCUUCAAACCAAGAUAAAACUUGUUAAAACUCAAAAGAUUGGAGGAAAACAUCAAAAAUCAACCAUGG
Molecule: long non-coding RNA, 204 nt
Filed under: Manihot esculenta (cassava)
Lineage: Eukaryota; Viridiplantae; Streptophyta; Magnoliopsida; Malpighiales; Euphorbiaceae
Description: long non-coding RNA (MESC_LNC000067)
Source: RNAcentral